Long non-coding RNA from Triticum dicoccoides, 795 nucleotides. RefSeq lists it as uncharacterized. The transcript is spliced from 5 exons. NCBI's taxonomy places the organism in Eukaryota, Viridiplantae, Streptophyta, Magnoliopsida, Poales, Poaceae. The record is from RefSeq and is a predicted model, not a curated record.
GUGCUACCGAGGGCGUCUUUACCCAGAUCUCCUCACGCCGGUGCGCAUGGCGACUCCUGCCGCUGGUUCCGCCUGCCGGUCGCGACGACGUAAACGAACAGAGCAUGUGCUUGCGGCGGAGGAUGCUCUCUCGCUCCCGCGGAACGCUUGCCUCGCCCGCCGCCACGGACAAGGCAACAAAAUGGAGCAUAUUCCAGAAGGAUUUAUUUUGCACAUAAAAGUGAUGGCUUGGGCCUUCGGCACCAUGGCGGCAUCAGUUUGCACGUUGUCGCUCCACUUGUAUUGCUGGUUGCAAAGAAAGGUGCGAACAGUCCAUUAGGAGGUGAAACUUAAGCACUAUAUAGUGAAAAUUUCCCUAGCAUUGUGCAAGCUGCUGCUGUUGCAUUUAAAUCGGUUUGUCCAAAUCGACAGUCCGAGGCUCCAAUCGAUGCAGUCGCGACCCCGCCUCUAUCAGCUCACCACCCAACCAGUUACACUCAGUUAUGUGACAGUUUUGAUUCAUUCUACAGAAUUAUUGGAACUCUGGAAUGACCAAAUCCCAAUUCUGCUUCAAAGGUGAGUACUGCACGAGCAAGUCAAAUUUAUUGGGACGUAGAAGAGGUAGCAAGCACAUCUAGCAGCCGGAGACAAGCAACAGUUUGUUCCCCAACAGCAACAGCAAUCCUGUUUUGUCUGGCGAAUAGUGGCGAUGGCAUCAUCCACGUCUGUCGAACUGGUGGACACUUACAGCAGGGAAAACACACAACAGCAUUGGUACACUUUUGCUCUGAGCUGUUGCAAGAAUUAACUGCUCUG